This 846-nucleotide ribosomal RNA is filed under the name uncultured Oxalobacteraceae bacterium. RNAcentral's name for it is "bacterial SSU rRNA". It matches the Rfam family "Bacterial small subunit ribosomal RNA", at positions 511 to 1362 of the family's 1533-position model. Lineage: Bacteria; Pseudomonadati; Pseudomonadota; Betaproteobacteria; Burkholderiales; Oxalobacteraceae. The record is from RNAcentral.
GCAGCCGCGGUAAUACGUAGGGUGCAAGCGUUAAUCGGAAUUACUGGGCGUAAAGCGUGCGCAGGCGGUUGUGCAAGACAGAUGUGAAAUCCCCGGGCUUAACCUGGGAAUGGCAUUUGUGACUGCACGGCUAGAGUGUGUCAGAGGGGGGUAGAAUUCCACGUGUAGCAGUGAAAUGCGUAGAUAUGUGGAGGAAUACCGAUGGCGAAGGCAGCCCCCUGGGAUAACACUGACGCUCAUGCACGAAAGCGUGGGGAGCAAACAGGAUUAGAUACCCUGGUAGUCCACGCCCUAAACGAUGUCAACUAGUUGUCGGGUCUUAAUUGACUUGGUAACGCAGCUAACGCGUGAAGUUGACCGCCUGGGGAGUACGGUCGCAAGAUUAAAACUCAAAGGAAUUGACGGGGACCCGCACAAGCGGUGGAUGAUGUGGAUUAAUUCGAUGCAACGCGAAAAACCUUACCUACCCUUGACAUGUCAGGAACCCUGCUGAGAGGUGGGGGUGCUCGAAAGAGAACCUGAACACAGGUGCUGCAUGGCUGUCGUCAGCUCGUGUCGUGAGAUGUUGGGUUAAGUCCCGCAACGAGCGCAACCCUUGUCAUUAGUUGCUACGAAAGGGCACUCUAAUGAGACUGCCGGUGACAAACCGGAGGAAGGUGGGGAUGACGUCAAGUCCUCAUGGCCCUUAUGGGUAGGGCUUCACACGUCAUACAAUGGUACAUACAGAGGGCCGCCAACCCGCGAGGGGGAGCUAAUCCCAGAAAGUGUAUCGUAGUCCGGAUUGUAGUCUGCAACUCGACUACAUGAAGUUGGAAUCGCUAGUAAUCGCGGAUCAGCAUGUCGCGG